AUGGAUGAGGAGUACGACGUCAUCGUGCUGGGCACGGGGCUCAAGGAGUGCAUCCUCAGCGGCCUCCUCUCCGUCGACGGCCUCAAGGUUUUGCACAUGGAUAGAAAUGACUAUUAUGGCGGAGAUUCCACUUCUCUCAACCUUAAUCAGCUCUGGAAGAAAUUUAGAGGGGAAGACAAGCCCCCGGCACAUCUAGGCUCAAGCAAAGAUUACAACGUAGACAUGGUUCCAAAGUUUAUGAUGGCAAAUGGGACAUUGGUUCGAACCCUCAUUCACACUAAUGUAACGAAGUAUUUGUCAUUCAAAGCUGUUGAUGGGAGCUUUGUCUUCAGCAAAGGGAAGAUUCACAAGGUUCCCGCGACUGAUAUGGAGGCUCUGAAGUCUCCUUUGAUGGGUCUUUUUGAGAAACGCAGAGCAAGGAACUUCUUCAUUUAUGUCCAAAAUUACGUUGAAGCUGAUCCAAAAACACAUCAGGGAUUGGACCUUACUACGUUGACAACUAAAGAAUUGAUAGCAAAGCACGGCUUAAGUGAUGAUACAGUGGAUUUCAUUGGCCACGCGCUUGCUCUCCAUAGGGAUGAUCGUCACCUCGAUGAACCAGCACUUGAUACUGUGAAAAGGAUGAAAUUAUAUUCAGAGUCUCUUGCACGUUUUCAAGGGGGCUCGCCUUAUAUUUAUCCUCUAUAUGGGCUGGGUGAGCUGCCACAGGGUUUUGCACGUCUAAGUGCUGUUUAUGGUGGCACUUACAUGUUAAGUAAGCCAGAAUGCAAGGUUGAAUUCAAUAUGGAAGGAAAAGCGUGUGGUGUUACAUCAGAAGGUGAAACUGCAAAAUGCAAGAAAGUUGUCUGCGAUCCUUCAUACUUGACCAACAAGGUCAGGAAGAUCGGCAAAGUUGCACGUGCAAUUGCUAUUAUGAGCCAUCCAAUCCCAAAUACAAAUGAGUCCCACUCAGUCCAGAUUAUUUUGCCACAGAAACAACUUGGACGCAAAUCAGACAUGUAUGUCUUCUGUUGCUCAUACACCCACAAUGUCGCACCAAAAGGGAAGUUCAUUGCAUUUGUCUCUGCAGAAGCGGAGAGUGAUAAUAUACAAUCCGAACUCAAGCCUGGCAUUGAUCUACUUGGUCCAGUAGAUGAGCUCUUUUUUGAUAUGUAUGACAGAUAUGAACCAGUGAACGAACCAUCUCUUGAUAAUUGCUUCAUCUCAACGAGCUAUGAUGCUACCACACAUUUUGAGACAACUGUGACAGACGUUCUUAACAUGUAUACAAUGAUCACCGGAAAGACUAUUGAUCUCAGCGUUGAUUUGAGUGCUGCUAGUGCCGCUGAAGAAGAAUACUAG
This 1341-nucleotide ribosomal RNA is filed under the name Triticum aestivum (bread wheat). RNAcentral describes it as "partial small subunit ribosomal RNA". The record is from RNAcentral. Lineage: Eukaryota; Viridiplantae; Streptophyta; Magnoliopsida; Poales; Poaceae.